Molecule: ribosomal RNA, 253 nt
Filed under: uncultured bacterium
Lineage: Bacteria
Description: partial 16S ribosomal RNA
Rfam family: Bacterial small subunit ribosomal RNA
Source: RNAcentral
UACGUAGGGGGCUAGCGUUGUCCGGAAUCAUUGGGCGUAAAGCGCGUGUAGGCGGUUCGGUAAGUCCGCUGUGAAAGUCGGGGGCUCAACCCUCGGAUGCCGGUGGAUACUGUCGGACUAGAGUACGGAAGAGGCGAGUGGAAUUCCCGGUGUAGCGGUGAAAUGCGCAGAUAUCGGGAGGAACACCUAUGGCGAAGGCAGCUCGCUGGGACGUUACUGACGCUGAGACGCGAAAGCGUGGGGAGCAAACAGG